UACGUAGGUGGCAAGCGUUGUCCGGAAUUAUUGGGCGUAAAGCGCGCGCAGGCGGUCCUUUAAGUCUGAUGUGAAAGCCCACGGCUCAACCGUGGAGGGUCAUUGGAAACUGGCAGGCUCGAGGGCGAGAGAGGAGGGUGGAAUUCCUGGUGUAGCGGUGAAAUGCGUAGAGAUCAGGAGGAACACCCGUGGCGAAGGCGGCCCUCUGGCUCGAUCCUGACGCUGAGAGGCGAAAGCGUGGGGAGCGAACGGG
Molecule: ribosomal RNA, 253 nt
Filed under: uncultured bacterium
Lineage: Bacteria
Description: partial 16S ribosomal RNA
Rfam family: Bacterial small subunit ribosomal RNA
Source: RNAcentral